Molecule: long non-coding RNA, 2392 nt
Organism: Schistocerca gregaria
Lineage: Eukaryota; Metazoa; Arthropoda; Insecta; Orthoptera; Acrididae
Exons: 5
Source: RefSeq, a predicted model, not a curated record
AUGUCUAAUUUAGUUUUAAGUCGUGAAUUGCUAUCGUACUGUAAACAAAACAUUGUCAAAGACUCUCAUUGUUUGGAAAGAUAUUAGUACACCUAGGAGUUGUCAGUUGCUAGUUCGGAUAUGCAGUGCGGUUAGCUCUGAGAGUCAGUUGUUGAGUCUGUGAAGUUUGUCAGUUCUGUUUGUAAAUAAACGUCUGUAAUGAAGAAUUACUUGUUGUCGUCAAUAUGAACUCAAGACCUUUUGCACGAAGCAGACACCUCCUAAUGCAACGUUUUAAUUUGGUGUUGAGGAGCUGAAAUGUUAUAAGAGGUUUUGGCACCAGUAUUUAUCUUUGUGCCUGCAGAGCAUGCCUGUGUCGCGCUACAUAUAUUCGACGGCAGAAGUUAGUUGUGGCGGCACCUACCAACGUUUUUCAGAACUUCCGCUUACUUUGCAAUCGAUUCUAAGCCGCAGACAGUUUUUUGGAUUACAAAAACCGGGAAAAAGGCGGCGGCGCUCCAUCUCACCCUCAUGGAUGGUCUGCUGCAGGCGGCGCACCUCCUGGUUCAGAGCCACCACCUCCUGCCGACUCGCUGACAGAGUCUCCCGUGUCUGCUGUAGCUCUGCCCUAAGUGCCUCCCGUUCCUUCUGGACUUUCAGCAAUGCUACAAAAAGGUGAGAGCUAUGGGAAGGAUGUGGCCCCCUCGUCCCCCAGAUAUGGGCACCCUUAACUACAGGAGUACAUUAUCAAUAUCUGCAAGAGCAUCCAUGACCAACAUGGAGUUUUUUUUUUUUAGAGAGAGCCUCAUUAUGCGAGACAACCGGCAGAAGCAAGCUUUGCCGUUAAUGGACACCACAUUGGGCACCUCCUAUAGUGGUGACUCACAAGUGCAGGAAACUGCUAUGGAGGAAGUGAGAUCUUUGACUGGUUGUAACAACGAAUGGUGGCAUGAAAGUAGGGAGGGAUGCGCACAGAGAGUGUGGUGGAUGAGGGAGGGCAGUGUGGCUCUCCAGUGCAAAGCAGAUGUGGUCAGUUGUACCAAGUUGCCACAUGAUGUAUGUCAGUUGUGCGUAACAAGUGGGUCGAGUUGACGGAAUAGCUCCCCGCGUUUUGGUUGUAUACAGAAUCGCCCCACGAGGAAAUGCUGUUCAUUUCGUCUUGGUGGGAUGUUAACUAGCUUCUUUACAUCCUCCGUUUCAACACUGGAGUUUAAAAGGAGACACCUAACAUGAAAGAGCAGUCACUAUGCAUCAACGUUGCAGAGAAGACGUGAACUCCGGUGACAGAGUCUGUUGUCAAGUGACCGUGGCGUGUUGGGUACACUGGCGACGGGUGCACAUUUGGAUGUGUGGAUCCUUGCCAUCGGUUGUGUACUGCCUGUUCGAGCAUAAUUGCAAGUUAAGUUCAUGGAAGGUUUAAUCAUUAAAUAUUAAUUUUGUGUAACCAGCGUCUCUUCUGCCAUGUGGCCUCCGACAACCAGGUUUCCUGUCCCUGGCACCGGUAUAAAUGAAGACAGUGAUCUUUCCUCCUCCUCUCGUUACUGUCCUAUGGGAGGUGUAGUUUUGGAAGUUUAAUUGCUUUGCUAUUCUUUUUUAAAUUCCUCCAAGUUUGUAAAUUCCUUUUAUUGCCACUAAUCAUUUGUUUGCUGUGACCUGUUUAAUUUUUUUAAUGGUGGUGUUGGUAGCUUCACUACCUCACCGUACCUUAUUAACAAAGUUCUGUAUUUACUUUAGUAGCCUAUUUACUAAUUUUCUUUAAUUUUUUUAAGUUGUUGUAUUGCUAUAAAUUACUUGAUUGCCAUUAGGGGCGUGUUUAAAAGGCUGUUUAUUGCCGUACCGCUAGUUUCUGUAAAGUACAAAUAAAACAUUUGUGAAAAUCUCAACUCGACAGUAAACUACUAGAAAUUUGGUUCUAUUUCCCAACUUGUGGUGUAGCUUGUAGUAACUGUAACCACUGUGUGUCCGCUCUGGUAGCAGAGCACGGUUGCGGUCUCUUGGUCAGUUGCUUACUGUCGAGUUCGAGUAAUUGUUUCAUUGUCUGAUAUCUUUGUGCGCUGCAAAAGCUGAUUAGUUUGUUCUGUUUCAGCAUCCUAAUAAUUAUGGAACAGCGAAAGUGCCCUCAAAUAAAAUUUUUGAAGAGGGAACAUUUGUUGUAUGAAUUGGCCAUCCGCCGGUAGCCCACGGAAGGAAAUUUGUCGGAGCUGGCAGCGCGUUUACGGUCUGCACUUUCUUCUCCGGUGGUCAUCAUGCUGGAAGUCAGUGAAGGGCAUUCAAUAAGAGCAACUGUGUCCAGCGCUGUAGUAAAUACUACAGUUUCACCCGAUAACAGGUGGGCUGCAGGUCCGAGUCCUUGUAAUUAUCAUCAUAUUGUUCUUGUUUUAAUUUAUGAUUAUAUAUUGUUAAAUAAACAGAU